This 462-nucleotide ribosomal RNA is filed under the name uncultured bacterium. RNAcentral's name for it is "bacterial SSU rRNA". It matches the Rfam family "Bacterial small subunit ribosomal RNA", at positions 119 to 573 of the family's 1533-position model. The record is from RNAcentral.
CGGAACGUGCCCAGUCGUGGGGGAUAACGCAGCGAAAGCUGUGCUAAUACCGCAUACGAUCUCUGGAUGAAAGCGGGGGACUCAGCAAUGGGCCUCGCGCGAUUGGAGCGGCCGAUAUCAGAUUAGCUAGUUGGUGGGGUAAAAGCUCACCAAGGCGACGAUCUGUAGCUGGUCUGAGAGGACGACCAGCCACACUGGAACUGAGACACGAUCCAAACUCCUACGGGAGGCAGCAGUGGGGAAUUUUGGACAAUGGGCGCAAGCCUGAUCCAGCAAUGCCGCGUGCAGGAUGAAGGCCUUCGGGUUGUAAACUGCUUUUGUACGGAACGAAAAGGUUCUCUUUAAUAAAGAGAGCUCAUGACGGUACCGUAAGAAUAAGCACCGGCUAACUACGUGCCAGCAGCCGCGGUAAUACGUAGGGUGCGAGCGUUAAUCGGAAUUACUGGGCGUAAAGCGUGCGCA